This 1040-nucleotide long non-coding RNA is filed under the name Lynx canadensis (Canada lynx). RNAcentral describes it as "lncRNA (ENSLCNG00005009364.1)". The record is from RNAcentral. Lineage: Eukaryota; Metazoa; Chordata; Mammalia; Carnivora; Felidae.
GGUGGGGGGCCUCCCUCCCCUCGUGCUGCCCUCCUCUGUCUUCCUCCGGGAAGCACUCUCUUCGCAGCCCUGCCUCAGCCGUGCUGGCAGAGUCCCAGCCCACUCUCCUGCCUCCCUGCCCAGGACUGCUGUGUGGGCACAGUGAUUGCGCCCUCUGGACACCCUCUCCUUCCUCUUCCCAGGUGUGGCUCCGCUGGUGUUGGGCGUGUGGGCACCCCAGCACCCUGGGGGCCGUGUCCCGGGGGACGGAGCAGGUUCACGGACUCCCCUCCCCACGUGUGUGAGCAAGGAGGCUUGCUGUGCCCUGGGGGGGAUGGCUCUUAUCCUGGGUCUGACCGAUGUGAUAACAUUUCUCUGUGGGAGCAUCCGAUUACGCUUCCCCUUGAUAUUUAAAGAAAGCACUUCUCAAGGACUUGGCCUGAUAAAGACAGAUCUCACUUACUCCUCGGUAAGUCUUGAUCGUGUGAAGCAGUUGUGAUUUUGUGCAGGUGAAGUUGAGGUUUAGAGAAAAGUCUGGACUGCUCUGACUCAGAUGACUCGAGUCUGUGCAUUCAGUGCAGACGGGCCUUCCGGAGCUUUCCGGGGGACAUGCGGUUGGGUGGUGAGUCUCCUCUUGGUAAAUUGACCGUCAGAGGACAGGAGGGCACAGCCAUGUCACUGACAUGGUCAGAGCCCGUGUGGACCCCACCCCCAGGGGAGGGGGUUCCCCUCGACCUGGGCCUCCAGCUGCCCACAGUGUGACCCACCAGGAGCUCCUGUGUCCCUUCCCCUCCUCUUCCUCCCUCCUCACAAAACCCCUUUCUGGAGUUUGUUCCUUACUAGCAGGUCCUAAAUAAGGAAGUAUUUUCCCAGCUCUACAAACGUGCACUUACGGCCUGGGCAUCAGCCAAGGUUACGUGUGUUCCUUGUUCUGAGCCAGCGUUCAGCAGCCUGCGCCCUUGCAGAGGGAGCCUGCCUGGACAGGCUCCUGGAUGUGUCCCACCCCGAGCCACACGCACUCCCUGCGGGUUGGGGCUGGACAAGGCUCCUUCCCUCCCCUU